CUUUGCAGUGUUCUUCCUUCCUAGUCAACUUUCCUUUUUCAAACCUAUACUAUUGUUGGUAAAUUAUUUUUACCAAGCCACGAGUUGGAUCACUUCCCAAUGCCAGGGCUCUGAUACCCUGCCUCGCACAGGGCUCUAGCUGUGCCCUUUUAAAAGCCAAGGUGUAUCACGGAUUUAGAACUAAGUGGCCUUCAUCAUGUUGCCAUCUUUCUUUGCUCUUUCAUUUCUUCGCUGCUCUCUCUUUUCUCCAAAUGUGCUUUUUUCUUUUCUCUUUCUACUUUGCCUCUUUUUUCCAGGAGGGAUAAGACUGAGAAGAAGGAAUGGAAGAGAAAAUCGCUUUGGGUGAAAGGGAAGGGGAGUGAGAAGGGGUCACCUGGUACCCAGAAGACGGGCCAGCCUUCAUGCAGAAGGUAAAUGGAGGGAAACCAUCCCAGAGCAAGCACUAAAGCAGCAAGGAAGAAGUAGCACAGAUUGGCGUUCUCCUCUGUAUGGAUGGAGACAGUGAGUGAUGCCCAGGAGUGCUUUCUGUGUCCUCUGUGUAACCCCUGUUGGCUUGCACUGAGUUCUUCAUGCAUCUGGGUGAAUAGCAGGAGUCUUGCUGUCCACCUUCCCAAGAUGAGGCUUCCAUUCUCCUCUCAUCUUCCCACGACAGGCUUUUCCUGCCCAAGGAGGGGUUUAGAUUGUGAUUCAGAAAGUCUCCUGCAUGCCACCAUGGUAAGACAUUUUAGCAGGUGACAGGGAAUGCGUGGGGCACCGGAGACCUGGCUUGAGUCCCAGCUGCAUGCUGAUAACCUCACUGAACGCCAUUUUUUCUCAUCUGGAGGGUGGGACUGAGAAGCUCUGUUCUGGGAAGAAUGAUGGCUACCACACUCCUGGGCAUCUUCCAGCUUUCUUCCUUAGACAUUCAGCAGCCUGAGCUUACAUGAGGUAUGAGGCCAGAUGACCUUAAAAGAACCUUAAGAAAGGCUAAAGAGCCUCUUAUUUUUAGGCUGAGUCUGGGUGCAAAGGUUCUUGGGUUCUGAGUAGGAUCUGUUUGGUUGGGGUAUUCUGAGAUGCCCUUGGCUUUUAAAGACUCCGUGGAUUCUCGUUAGUAUAACAGCAGGUGAUUUUUAAGCACAUACCUUAUGUAAGCUCUGAUUUGGUGGUUCGUACUCUUUGAAUUAUUUAAUCUUUAUCACCUGCCUAUGAGGUAAGUAUUAUUAUUCUCAUUUUAUGGAUAAGAAAACUGACACUGAGAGAGUCCUGAACAAUGGGUCUAAGAUCUCACAUCUGAUAAGUGUGAGAGUUGGGUUUCAAUUGGUCUGUUGACUCCCGCUUCCAUCUUUACGCUAUUCAUUGUUAGCUCUCCAGAAAUCUAAGAAUCCAAGUUGAGCAACUCCCUAGAGCAAGCAACUCUGUCCAUCAGAACAUUUUCUGCAAUGAUGGAAAAGUUCUGUUCUGCUCUGUCCAAUAUGAUAACCAUUAUCCACUUGAAAUGUUGCUAGUGUGACAGAACUGAGUUUUAAAUUUUAUUUGAUUUUAAUUAAUUUAAAUUUAGGUAACUCAUGUGACUGGUGGUUACCAUAUUGGAUAGUGUAGCCCUAGAGCUUGCGUUUUGCUGAUGCAAGUCCUCAAGGAGAUUCCAGGAGCUCCUAAUCAAUGGCUCCUGCUCACACUCCUUCCACUCUACUCCCAUAUAUGGGCACACACUUAAUGAUUACUCUCCUAUGAUUCUAUAGUAAACUGUACUUUAACUUUUGGUUUCUGAUCUUUACUUUCUGGGUUUCCAGUUUCCCAACUAAGCUCCAUAUGCUCUUUCUCCUGCUCUGCAGAACUCACUUUGCUUCUUGUCCACUAGGAAGUUUAGAUUCUCACAGUCUUAUGAGGCACUGGGGACUCUGCCUUGGCUCUGUAGCUGUGAUUGACAAUCCUUUUAGCCCUCCAGAAGUGGCUGAUGCUUGGGUACAUAG
RNAcentral lists this long non-coding RNA (1949 nucleotides) under Macaca mulatta (Rhesus monkey). RNAcentral describes it as "lncRNA (ENSMMUG00000064181.1)". Lineage: Eukaryota; Metazoa; Chordata; Mammalia; Primates; Cercopithecidae. The record is from RNAcentral.